RNAcentral lists this microRNA (22 nucleotides) under Macaca fascicularis (crab-eating macaque). Its description in RNAcentral is "novel_miR84-3p". Lineage: Eukaryota; Metazoa; Chordata; Mammalia; Primates; Cercopithecidae. The record is from RNAcentral.
GAGAGGCUGGACAUGGUAGCUU